Papaver somniferum (opium poppy) is the source of this 566-nucleotide long non-coding RNA. RefSeq lists it as uncharacterized. The transcript is spliced from 2 exons. NCBI's taxonomy places the organism in Eukaryota, Viridiplantae, Streptophyta, Magnoliopsida, Ranunculales, Papaveraceae. The record is from RefSeq and is a predicted model, not a curated record.
AGUGUUUGGAAGGACCCAUUACAUAUUCGAAUACUUCAUUGGUAUCUCUGGAACCAUUCUUCUUGUUGUUUCCCUAUAAAUAGGUAGAACUCUUGUUCUCAUUCACAACAUCCUCGUCGAAUAAAAAAAAAAGAAGAAACAAUCAUCAGAUAAAGAUUAGAUCUUCCACAAAAAAAUAAGUUCGAUCGAAAUCAUGGGUAGAGGUUUUUUGAGAGUCUUGUUUGCUGCUCUUAUGUUAGUUUUGGUUAUGAUGUCCGCUGCACCGCAUACUGUUAAUGCCGGUGAGCCAAGUUGGGGUAAUAUCCCUGAGGAUGCCGACGGUCAAUGGGACGAAAAUGAUGGAUGAAACUAGUCACUGAAUACUAGUAUUGCAAAAGCGUGUCAAGUUUUUAAUUACAUAAAUAAUGAUUUGCAUAUAUUUGCAAGUGUGUGUGCUCUGUAAAUGGAGGUGAACUCUGCUCUGCAGCAGUUAUUGUGGUCUUCUUAUAGACGACCUUGGGCUCAUUUGUCUGCUUGAGUCACAGUUAAAUUUAAUAUAAUUCUGUGUGUGUUUGUGCGUGAAUAAA